Long non-coding RNA from Brassica rapa (field mustard), 2550 nucleotides. RefSeq lists it as uncharacterized. The record is from RefSeq and is a predicted model, not a curated record. NCBI's taxonomy places the organism in Eukaryota, Viridiplantae, Streptophyta, Magnoliopsida, Brassicales, Brassicaceae.
AGAUGAAACUUAGAAGAUGAUUGAAUGGAAUGAGUUAGGAGACCGAUGUUUUAGAAGAUUAGGAUUUCUCAAGUGUUUUUUUACUUGGGCCAUAUAUGAGACCCGAUUUUUUUUAAGAAUUGGCUAAACAUAAAUGACAUGGCAGAGAGGAUUUUUCUUAUUGAUUAAUUUUUUGUGAUGACGUGGCACGCUUCCUGCUCACCGUAUCCGGCUUUUAAUAUUAUAGAUAUCCAUUGAAACAAAACGGUUAAAGGGAUAAACCAAUAACUUUGAUUUCAUUAUAAAAUUGAUACAUGUUUGUAGAAUUUUUCAAAAGUACAUAAAAUAUAUACCAAAAUACAAAAUAUACUUGAAAUACAAUAUUUGAUGAUUACAUACAGAAUAACAAAUACUUAAUGUAGUUUAGUGCAGAAUUUAGAUAGGAUGAAUGUAAUAAAUUUGCUAUUUAAAGUUUUAUAGAUUAAAAUUGACAUUUUAUGUUAAUUUACCUAACAUCUUUUUUUCUUUCAAAAAACAUACAUUUAAACAAAAUUAACCCACAUUACUUAUUUUGAUAGUUUGUUGAAUUUAUAAGAUCAAAAUUUAUAACUUUAGCUUGCCUGUUAUAUAUUAAAAAGAAUUGUCUGGCAAUAAUUAAGUUAAAUUUCAGCAAAAAAAAAGAUUAAAUAAAGUAAAUUCAUCUUUGGAUUCAGAAAUUCAAGCUCUGCUGUAAGGAAUACUGGAAAAGAAAAAUUCAACAAAUGAAAAAUCAGUCAACAAAUCAAAGAAAAACUGUAGAGAAUUGAAAACAUGCAAAACCUUCUUUGUCAAGGCCAAAACCUUAUGCUUCGUAUAUUCAACUCGAAGAUAAAUGCCGAGAGUGUAGUUAUGGUUGUCCAGGAGAAAAAUAUUUUAUGCUCGAUACUCUCUCUAAACCGUGACUAUUAUCGUACCAGUAUCAAUUGCUUCCCAUAAUUCCACCAAAUCAAUAUAAAAUCUUGUCGAUAAAUGAUUUUUAAGUACUAAUCUAGACGAAGAAAAAAAAAUUGUUGCAGAAAGAAAAGAAGAUAUAAAGAAACACAUGUCAAAAUUGAAAAUUUAAGAGAGAUUAUAAGAUCUUUUUUUGUUGGGGAAUAUAGAAAAAAGGGGAGAUAACAGAGGGUUGAGUACGAAGGUUGUAAGGAGAGGGUGGAGUCUCCUCUGUUUUUGGGGUUAUGCGCUCUGUUUCUGUUGUUUCCACGGGGCAUUACUCGGUUUGUUGUGUUGGUGUUGGUUGUCUGUAACUCUGUAUGGCAACGAUGAAAUAUAAAAGGAACUUUUUUUUUUUUUUUGUAACUGAAUAUAAAAGGAACUUUGAAGUCAAAAAAAAAACAGAGGGUUAUAAAAAAAGGAAAACAGUUUGAAAUCGUGGAAAUGAGAUUUUCUGAACGUGGAUGAAAUAUCAAGAUAUAAUUACUAAAAAUUAGGGAUGAAAAAGAAUUAUUUUCAAACACUUUUUUUUUAAAGUGUUUUCCAACUAUCAAAAUUUGAUUAGCCAUGUGACUUGUGCUUUAGUAUAUAAAGGAUAUACGAUUUUGAUUUAUUUUUUCUUUAAAAAAGAAAAUAAAUAAAAAUAAAUAUCUAGACCACGUCAGUUUAUAUGUAAAUUAUUUUAUUUUGUAAAAGUAUAUAUGAUUCACAUUAUAAAAGGAUAUCCGGAACCGAUCCGAACCGGUGUGAACCGGUGUGAACCAAAACUUAUUAAAUAACUAGGAUAUAUAAUUCAUUGAUCCGAACCCGAUCGGAUCUUACCUGAACCUGAGCUGAAUAUCCGAAAUCCCAACCUUAAUAGCUUAUAAAUCUAAUCCAUUAAUUAAGUGUCAUAUUUUUUAUCUACUAUUGACAAGUAAUAGUAAGACCAUUUAAAUAAUUACUUAAUGUAAAAUAUUUAAAUAUUUAUAUUAGAUCUUAAUACUCAAUAAGAUAUUAAUAAUAAAUCAAUAAAUUUGAAUUUUUUCAAUUCUAAGAAAAUCUGUUGAAACAAAUCUAACAAAAUCCUACCAAACAUUUUAAAUAUUUUUUAAAAAUCAUGCAUUAAUUAAUUUUGUAAUUAAUAAUAUAAUAACUUAAUUAGAAUUUAUCAUUAAAAAUUAUGUUAUUUUAUAAAUUUAUGAUUAUAAAUUAUCAAUACUAUUAAAAUAGGUGUGCUCUAUCAACUAAAUAUAAAAAAAAAUUACAUUAAAUUGGUAGAUUAACCUAUUUUUAAAAUGCUUUCAUUUAACUAAUUUUAUCAUUCAUCGAUAAAACAUCUUAAACUAUCUAAUAUUGUAUGCAAAAACUAAAAUCAUUAACAUAUGUUAAAAUUUUAUUUACAACUAUAUAUUAUUUUUUGUUUACUUUGGAAAAAAAUCAAUUAUAUUAUCUAAAAAUGAUUAAAUACAAAAUAUUAUAGUACAUAACUAACAUUUAGUUCAUGUAUUAUUUACAAAAUAUGUUACUAGAAAUAUUUGAAAUUUUAAUAACUAAUUAAAGGUAUUAAUAAAAAUUAUUUUCAUUAUCAAUUUAAUAUUUAUUUAAAUUAAAACAAAAUAU